CUGCAUGAAGAUUAUUCUGUUCACUGUUAAGUGCUUCUGUGGCCAUUGCAACAUGCUGGAGAGGAGUCCUGGGCUCUUGGGAGACGGCUGCUACUACCAGCCUGAAAGAAAGUGUCUGAUUUUCCCUUCCCUCGAGAGAAAAGGAAAUGACUGCAAUUUUGCAGCUAUAAUGAAGACAGGAAAGAAAAAACAUGUUCACUGUCUGUGUGGUUAUCGAACAAAGAAGUAUGAGGACAUAUGGUGGCAGAGUGUGAAACAGUAUAUUACAAGCCUCCAGAUAAAAGCACUUAAAGAAAGCAAUUCAAGCAUUGGCCUGGAACUCAGGAGGCUGAGGUUUUGA
RNAcentral lists this long non-coding RNA (340 nucleotides) under Anser brachyrhynchus (Pink-footed goose). RNAcentral's name for it is "lncRNA (ENSABRG00000001403.1)". Lineage: Eukaryota; Metazoa; Chordata; Aves; Anseriformes; Anatidae. The record is from RNAcentral.